GUGGUGGUGGCUCAGUGGUAGAGCACCUGCCUGGCCUGUGCGAGGCACUGGGUUCGAUUCUCAGCACCACA
Molecule: non-coding RNA, 71 nt
Organism: Ictidomys tridecemlineatus (thirteen-lined ground squirrel)
Lineage: Eukaryota; Metazoa; Chordata; Mammalia; Rodentia; Sciuridae
Source: Rfam